CCCUGUAGAGACAGGAUCUCACUAUGUUUCCCAGGCUGGUCUUGAACUCCUGGCCUCAAGCAAUCCACCUGUCUCAGCCUCCCAAAGUGCUGGGAUUAGAGCAUGUGUGUGUGUGUCUAAGAGUAGACUAUGAGCUUCUUGGUGGCAGAACCUUAUUCAUGUUUCUUUCCCAUUGUCUGGCAUGGCACUGUGUGUAGCUUAGUAACAAUGAUGGUUGUGAUGAUGCUGAUAAUGGCCUCUAUUACUCAGCUUCCUGUAUGCCAGGCACUAUGCUAACUGCUUUGCAUACAUUACCUUAUUUAAUUCUCAUAACAAUCCAGGUGGAAAGUAACAAACAGUAUAUUAUGUCCAUAUGUUGUGAGGAAACUGAGGCUUAAAGAUAUUCAUGGACAUGACCAUGGUCACACAGCUAGUGAAGUGUUGGACCUGGAAUCUAAAACCAUUUCUGUUCUUUGUCCCAAGCCCAUGUUGUUUAUUACUAUGCUCUAUAUUUGUUGCCUGAAUUAAUGACAGAGUGGUUAACCAAGGUCCCCUGUCCUACCCAGGCCCUGUGACUCAGUAAAGAGUUAAAAUGUGACAAACAGAACUGGACAAUGGUGAUGUCCUAGAAUGAACCAGUUUUAUUCACCAGUAGAAGAGAAACUUUCAGUGUGGGUAAUAAGAGAUUGAGGGACGACCUGUGUCAAUGGAUAGCUCCAAAUGAGAGGAGUGCAGUGGGUUUAAGAGAAAGAGGGGAGAAAAGAAAGUACCAUAAAAGGGAAACUUAAACAAAGAGCAAAGUAGAAAAAAAAAUUCUUUUGAGAGGAGGUCAUUUUUCAUUCCCAGAAACUUCCAAAGUGAUGCUUUUAACCCCACAUCUGGUUCAGAUUCCUGCUCGAAUGCUCAGAGGUAGAACAACAAAGCAAGUGGAAAGGUUUGGGCACGCCUCUGUCCGUGGAGCUGCCCUCCCUGCGCCCUUCCCCCUGAGGAAUAUCUGCUUUGGAAGCAAAUGAUGGAAAGUUUUGUCCAGGUUGCCUUCCCUCACUUUUGCGCGUGGGUGUGAGUUUGUGUACCCGAUUCUACUGUGAGGAGUUCAGGUUGCUUUACCUGCUGUUGCGUCUUAACAGGGUGAGACAUGUGCCUGUGGUUACAGGCCUGUCCCAGGAGAACUUGUCCUACUGGAUAUGGAAAUCAUUCAAGCAAAGUGGGAGGCUAGGUUGUCUUAUUUUCGUGCCGAUACUUGGGUUGCUUUGCUGAACUGAAGCAUGAGAGAGAGAUGGGAUGAGAAGCAAACCAUUUGCAUGUAUCAUUCCUCCUGCAGUUCUGGAGCUGUUAGCCAAAAGUGCCAUUUUCACAGACAAAAGGCAGGAAAAAGAAAUGUCCCCCAUCAAAAAAAAUCACAGGGACCAGUGUACUAUUCUGCCUACUUCCUUGAACAGGG
RNAcentral lists this long non-coding RNA (1420 nucleotides) under Homo sapiens (human). RNAcentral describes it as "HSALNT0203590". The record is from RNAcentral. Lineage: Eukaryota; Metazoa; Chordata; Mammalia; Primates; Hominidae.